RNAcentral lists this ribosomal RNA (464 nucleotides) under uncultured bacterium. RNAcentral's name for it is "partial 16S ribosomal RNA". It matches the Rfam family "Bacterial small subunit ribosomal RNA", at positions 28 to 507 of the family's 1533-position model. The record is from RNAcentral.
GACGAACGCUGGCGGCGUGCUUAACACAUGCAAGUCGAACGGUAAGGCCCCAGUUUCCUUGGGUUCACGAGUGGCGAACGGACGAGUAACACGCGGGUAACCUGCUCCGCAUUACGGGAUAAGUCGGGGAAACUGGGCCUAAUACCGGCUACGACCGCAACUUGAGUGGGAGGUCUAAAGUAUUACGGCGUGGGAUGGUCCGGCGGCGUAUCAGCUUGUUGGUGGGGUAAUGGGCUACAAAGGCGGCGCCGGGUAGCCGGCCUGAGGGGGUGGACGGCCACAUUGGGACUGAGACACGGCCCAGACUCCUACGGGAGGCAGCAGUGGGGAAUAUUGCAUGACGGGCGGAAGCCUGAUGCAGCGACGCCGCGUGGGGGAUGACGGCCUUCGGGUUGUAAACUCCUUUCACCUUCGACGAAGGUUUUCUGACGGUAGAUGGAGAAGAAGCACCGGCUAACUACGUG